RNAcentral lists this ribosomal RNA (468 nucleotides) under uncultured bacterium. RNAcentral's name for it is "bacterial SSU rRNA". It matches the Rfam family "Bacterial small subunit ribosomal RNA", at positions 29 to 533 of the family's 1533-position model. The record is from RNAcentral.
AACGAACGCUGGCGGCAUGCCUAACACAUGCAAGUCGAACGGUGCCUUCGGGCACAGUGGCGCACGGGUGAGUAACACGUGGGAACCUGCCUUUCGGUUCGGAACAACGUCUGGAAACGGACGCUAACGCCGGAUACGCCCAUCCAGCGAUGGAUGGGGAAAGUUUACGCCGAGAGAGGGGCCCGCGCCGGAUUAGGUAGUUGGUGGGGUAACGGCCUACCAAGCCGACGAUCCGUAGCUGGUCUGAGAGGAUGAUCAGCCACACUGGGACUGAGACACGGCCCAGACUCCUACGGGAGGCAGCAGUGGGGAAUAUUGGACAAUGGGCGCAAGCCUGAUCCAGCAAUGCCGCGUGAGUGAUGAAGGCCUUAGGGUUGUAAAGCUCUUUCGCACGCGACGAUGAUGACGGUAGCGUGAGAAGAAGCCCCGGCUAACUUCGUGCCAGCAGCCGCGGUAAGUACUGACUCA